Non-coding RNA from Nemania sp. FL0031, 101 nucleotides. Lineage: Eukaryota; Fungi; Ascomycota; Sordariomycetes; Xylariales; Xylariaceae. The record is from the annotation of a GenBank genome assembly.
GGGCGAAUGGUCUAGGGGUAUGAUACUCCCUUCGCAUAUCUGGAAUUUCUCCAGGAAUAGACGACUGGGAGGGGUCCGGGGUUCAAUUCCCCGUUCGUCCA